This 510-nucleotide ribosomal RNA is filed under the name uncultured bacterium. Its description in RNAcentral is "partial 16S ribosomal RNA". It matches the Rfam family "Bacterial small subunit ribosomal RNA", at positions 28 to 507 of the family's 1533-position model. The record is from RNAcentral.
GACGAACGCUGGCGGCGUGCUUAACACAUGCAAGUCGAACGAAGAGCGAUGGAAGCUUGCUUCUAUCACUCUUAGUGGCGAACGGGUGAGUAACGCGUAAUCAACCUACCCUUCAGAGGGGGACAACAGUUGGAAACGACUGCUAAUACCGCAUACGAUCUAAUCUCGGCAUCGGGGAUAGAUGAAAGGUGGCCUCUACAUGUAAGCUAUCACUGAAGGAGGGGAUUGCGUCUGCUUAGCUAGUUGGAGGGGUAACGGCCCACCAAGGCGAUGAUCAGUAGCCGGUCUGAGAGGAUGAACGGCCACAUUGGGACUGAGACACGGCCCAGACUCCUACGGGAGGCAGCAGUGGGGAAUCUUCCGCAAUGGACGAAAGUCUGACGGAGCAACGCCGCGUGAGUGAUGACGGCCUUCGGGUUGUAAAGCUCUGUUAAUCGGGACGAAAGGCCUUCUUGCGAAUAGUGAGAAGGAUUGACGGUACCGGAAGAGAAAGCCACGGCUAACUACGUG